CAGUAGCGUAUGUAAAAAUUGUUGCAGUUAAAAAGCUCGUAGUUGAACUUGUGGAUUUUUUUAUAUGGUUGUCAUCUAGUAUGAGACCUGAAUAAAAGAAUUCUUCUUGUUAAAGACUUAUAACUCUAUUUAUUUAGUAGUUUUAAUGGAUUUGACUUUUUUACCUUGAAGAAAUUGGAGUGUUCAAAGCAGGCUUAAUGCAGUUGAACAUAUCGCAAGGAAUAAUAGAAUAGGAUUGAAUUACUAUUGAGUUGGCAAUAGAAUUCGGUAAUGAUUAAUAGGAACCGUCGGGGUUCUCUGUACUCGAGCGCUAGAGGUGAAAUUCUUGGAUUGCUCGAUGACAAACAAAUGCGAAAGCAUUGAACAAGGAGGUCUNCAUUAA
RNAcentral lists this ribosomal RNA (382 nucleotides) under uncultured eukaryote. Its description in RNAcentral is "partial 18S ribosomal RNA". It matches the Rfam family "Eukaryotic small subunit ribosomal RNA", at positions 592 to 976 of the family's 1831-position model. The record is from RNAcentral.